UCCAAUAAUUUUCCCAACUUGUUGUUUUCAGCUCCAGUUCUCCUUAGGCUCCAAAAUGCUCUAAAUGCUCCAAACUUGUCCAAAACAUACAUGAACCUACAAAGACUCAUAGACACUCUAAAAAGAUCAAAAAGACUCUAAAAUCGGCCUACAUCAUGUUCAAAAACCCAUAAAACUAUGAUAUAUCUCAAUCUUCUCUUUCCUCAUUACAGUGAAGUGCCUGCUGCGCCUCGAGGUGACAACCGUAUCUGGGAGUCGGGUUUACGACUUGACUGACCAGAAUUCAAAGGAAGUUUGAAACCCGGCAAGCUGUUCGACUGUAUUAGUACGAUGGAGGAAUUCUAACAUUUAAACAAAUUCCUGAAGUAAUGAGUGUUUCAUUAGCGGCAUCUCGUUUCAAGGGAACGGCCUCAGCGUGAUGGCACCAAGCUUGGGAAGUGGCUUGUGUUUGGUUCUUUGGAGCUUUGAAUGUAACUUGUGUUUUGUUUUGGUUCUUGGGAAGUAGCUUCUGUUUGGUUAUUUUUACAUGUACAACAUCAUGUUUCAUUGCGGCUUGUGUUUAGUUCUUUUGAGAUUAUAUCGUAACUUUUGCACUGAAUUAUGUUAUUGACUGCUCAUUUAGGAAUGAUACACUGAGGUACAUAUACAGCAUCCUGUUUCAUAGUGGCUUGUGUUUGGAAUUAUAAGCCUUUUUGGGUCUUAGUGUUGUUGAAAUUACGGUGUUGCAGUUUCUUUAGAGCUUCUAAAUUAACUUGUUGGACUGAAUUAUGUUCUUGGCUGCUCGUUUUCAGUAUGAGACAUGGUACUACUAGAUCUGAUCAAGAAGGUCAUUUUAAGCUUGACACGAAGAUUGAGGGAGGGAUCAAAGGUUUCUGAGUAAGAACUAAGAACCCACCGAUGUGGAAAAGCAUAGAAUUAAAUAUAGAAUAUGUUAAACACAUAAUCAAAAUAAGGUAGACC
Molecule: long non-coding RNA, 960 nt
Filed under: Brassica napus (rape)
Lineage: Eukaryota; Viridiplantae; Streptophyta; Magnoliopsida; Brassicales; Brassicaceae
Description: long non-coding RNA (BNAP_LNC010909)
Source: RNAcentral